Molecule: long non-coding RNA, 641 nt
Organism: Drosophila gunungcola (fruit fly)
Lineage: Eukaryota; Metazoa; Arthropoda; Insecta; Diptera; Drosophilidae
Exons: 3
Source: RefSeq, a predicted model, not a curated record
UAUGGUUUAUCGACUUGGGAGAAAUAAUCUAUAUCGAAGAGUGCUUCGCCCUGCAACAUCAAUGCAUCUCUGUUCUUCUUCUUCGACUGCUGUCGUUGUCGCACCUGUCGCACAAUUUAUUUUUCGCCCAAGAAGCAAAAAAGCCCAAAACAAGCAAUGCAAUAACCACCGAAAAAAAUAUAAAAUAAAAAAAAGGAACAGGCCAGCAAAAAGCAGUUGCUUGAUGUGCAGCGCAUAUCCGUUUGUCUUUAGCUUCCUUUUGGUAAUGACGACAGAGCCGAAAGAAGCAGCUGCCGUCCCAAAAACAUGGCCAAAAGAGACAACAGCAGCGAAAUGGUAGUGGUUAUGGUCCUGAUCCCGAGAUACUUUCGAUGUAUCUGUAUCUGCAGUCUGCAAAAGACGAAGACGAUGACGCUUCCCAACAGAAUCGCGAGCUUGGGCUUAUGCUCCUUUGCGGUCGUAAAGUUUAUCUGCCCUCCUGGACGAAACCAAAAGGAAAACGAUUGCCAAAAAAUAAAUAUAUUGUAAAGUCUCCUUCUGUUGGUAUUGUUUUCUUUCCGUUUGAGUUUCGGUGAGAAAUAAGAAAAGGUUCACAGCCCUUUUCAGCAGUUGUAGAUCAAUGUCACAUUUAUGUUUUGAUU